CACGUAACAGGCUUCUUUAAAAGAGGUUUGAUCACUGCAGUCCUCUUGGCCUGUGGAAAGUGACCUCAAUGAAGUGAAGAAUUCCCUGCAAUACUUGAGCCGGAUACCUGGACCUGACUUUGUCUCCAAGCAUCUUUGCUAUUUUGGAUUUUGACAUUGGAGAAGGAUCUCUAAACUACGUGGAUUAAACCUGGUUUGCCUACCCUCUGCUUUCCGGAAUUACUGGCUGGCGGCCACCAUCGAGGUGCUCUUCCUGGAACUACUACGGACCACCUCAAGCGAACCCUGUCGACCUUCCCACACAAUAACAUCUCCAACAGGACCUCAGAGUUACCUCACUGAUCCACUAAACUGGUGCACUUACCUGUCCUGGGCAGAGUAUGCGAUUAAUUCUCAUGUUUCUUCUGCUACUGGACUUUCACCUUUCGAGGCCUCUGUCGGAUAUCAGCCACCUUUGUUUCCUGCUGAUGAAAUGGACAUUGCAGUGGCCUCUGUUCGCCUCUAUGUACGCCGUUGCAAACAGUUCUGGUACAUGGCCUCUCAGGCUCUCCUUCGCUCAGCAGAUCAGAACAAGAAGUAUGCCGACCGUAAACGGAGGCCGGCCCUGGUGUACCAGCCUGGCCAAAGGGUCUGGUUGUCCUCUAGGGACAUACCUUUAAAAGUGGUUUCUAAGAAGCUGUCGCCCCGCUUUAUUGGCCCCUAUGCCAUUGAAUCUAUCAUCAGUCCUUCUGCCCUUCGUCUACCUCCUAGCCUGCGUGUACACCCCGUUUUUCAUGUUUCCCAGGUUAAGCCUGUCACUAUGAAAAACUGUGACAAAAGCUUGUAAGGAAUACCUGGUAAAUGAACCCCUCUCUUUUCAUCUCCUGGUUCUGUAUUUUGGGUCGUUCUCUAAUAUGUGUCCUUAAAUUCAUCUGUUGAGCUUCCCUUUUUUAUUUAAAAUUGUUUUUUCUUCAAUUGUGCCUCAAUUAGUCCUCUUUCUUCUAAGAAGUCAAAUAUCUGCCAGCACCUUUUGUAAUUUUAAUGUUCAUCCUUUUCUAUUUCUCUUUUUUCUCUCAUACUCUUUGUUCCAUCUUUUACUUGAAUUGGAGGGUUUCAUUUGCAGUUAAAUGCCAUUUUUGUCCCUCAUUCUUUGUUUCAUUUUUUAUGUUUGAACCUUUUUUUUGUAUUCCUCUUUAUUGAAUUUUUCAUUUCCACUCAAUAUGUAAUAAUAGCCUGGUUGAUACUAUCAACAUCUCCUCUUUAUAUUCACUAUUAUCAGUUAUUUUCCAUCUUCUAAUCCUCAAUGCUCUAUGUCUUGAUCUGCUUCCUGUAGUUCCUUAUUCUUGCUUCAAUCUCUGUGGGUCCCAAAGCAGUGCAUGAGGACAGAAAGCAUUUGGUGCUGGUCCUUCUUUCACUCAUUUCUCCAGUGUUUUCUUUUCGUUUCCUAGCCCCGACAGUUUCAGAUUUGCUUUUCUCCUUUUCUUACCAAACCGACUGUCCCCAUCACUUCCCUAACAGUCCUAUCUCCCUUUCACUUCUGCUAUCAUUCCCUGUUCAUUCCAGUGCUCCCAUGGGUGCAGGUGGUAAAGAAUGACGUCUCACUUUGAUUGCUGCAUGGCUGCAGGCAUUCCUGGGGCACAGUAGAUGUGGCGCUUCAGAUUGCAGGAUGUAGUGGUAAAUAAUCCCGACUGGGGAGAGAGGAACAGAGAGAUACAGGAAGAAAGGAAGGAAGGAAAAUAGGAAGUGGACAUGUGGAUGGUAGGGAAUUAUGUGACAAUUUUGGCACUGUUGAUUUGAAAGUAAAGCUUUGUCACUCAUAUAUUUCUCAUAUAUGUUAAGUUUCAUAAUUCGUUGUGUUAAAGAUAUCUUUUUGAACUUGCUUAAAUAACAUGUCUUAUAUUUUGUAGUUUUAUUACACAAAACAUUAUAUAAUAAACAGCUGGCAACAUAAA
Girardinichthys multiradiatus is the source of this 1931-nucleotide long non-coding RNA. RefSeq lists it as uncharacterized. NCBI's taxonomy places the organism in Eukaryota, Metazoa, Chordata, Actinopteri, Cyprinodontiformes, Goodeidae. The record is from RefSeq and is a predicted model, not a curated record. The transcript has 2 exons.